Ornithorhynchus anatinus (platypus) is the source of this 72-nucleotide non-coding RNA. The record is from Rfam. Lineage: Eukaryota; Metazoa; Chordata; Mammalia; Monotremata; Ornithorhynchidae.
AGCAGAGUAGACUAGUGGAAAGAGCACAGUCUUGGGAGUCAGAGGACCUGGGUUCUAAUCCCAGCUCUGCCA